UCUAUUUAAUUAUUAGUGUGGCCUAUUUGUUUUAUUAUAGGCAAAGCUUAAUUAUAAAGCUAUGCCUAUAAUAAUAUUUAUGUUUAAUAUGCUUGUAAUAUAUAUAUUAUUAUAUCAGCAUAAAAUACGUAUUGACAAACCUAUUAUUAUUAUAUAUAAACAAUAAACAUAACAGAAUAAAUGAACCGAAAAAAGAAAAAAAAACCCUUUAACACCGGUUGGUAUUAAAGGGUCCUGCAACGUGGCAGCCCUAGCAGGACCCUUUAAAAUCGGUUGGUAUAACCAACCGGCAUUAAAGAGGGGGGGGGCUAUGGCCCCGGUGCCCUGAACCGGGACUAAAGGGAGGGCCUUUAGUCCCGGAAGGGCAGCACUGGUUCGGCAACCGGGGCAACAGGCCCUUCCCGACCGGUGCUAAUGCCCGACAUCUAGAGGAUUACAAUCAGCAGUGAGAGCAUCUAGAGGCUUACAAUCAGCAGCAACACAUUCAUCAAGUUACAACUUGGCAUCAACUACAACCAUAAAUUUCUAACAAGAGGAAUAACAGCAAACAGACAGAUAAGUCAAAGAUUCUGUCCCCCUUGGUAAUCAGUUCAUGUCUCCCAAACUACAGCUCCACUGUGCAUACGUUUUGGUAGGCAAGUAGACCCACAAGUCCCCUAACCACUGACCAAAUUUUAGCUCAAUCAGACACAGUUUGGCCACCCAAACAAAUCAUCUACCAAAACUGCUCUGUUCUGAAACUGCAGAGAUCCGAACUGAUAAAACCCCUCUCAAAUCUGGUGCUAUACGUAACCAAUCCUCAAACCAACUUAGCAGAUCGAAGUACUCUAAGCGAGGAACAAGAUCACCAAGUUUGGUGUCAAUCCAACCAAGUUUAAGCCUCCAAUCACCAGCUUGAAGAUGACCGGUUUACAGCCACC
Molecule: long non-coding RNA, 920 nt
Filed under: Sorghum bicolor (sorghum)
Lineage: Eukaryota; Viridiplantae; Streptophyta; Magnoliopsida; Poales; Poaceae
Description: long non-coding RNA (SBIC_LNC017427)
Source: RNAcentral